Molecule: ribosomal RNA, 253 nt
Filed under: uncultured bacterium
Lineage: Bacteria
Description: partial 16S ribosomal RNA
Rfam family: Bacterial small subunit ribosomal RNA
Source: RNAcentral
UACGGGGGGAGCAAGCGUUGUUCGGAUUUACUGGGCGUAAAGGGCGCGUAGGCGGUAGCACAAGUCAGUUGUGAAAUCUCCGGGCUUAACUCGGAAAGGUCAACUGAUACUGUGCGACUAGAGUGCAGAAGGGGCAACUGGAAUUCUCGGUGUAGCGGUGAAAUGCGUAGAUAUCGAGAGGAAGACCAGUGGCGAAGGCGGGUCUCUGGACAGUUCCUGACGCUAAGGCACGAAGGUCAGGGGAGCAAACGGG